Paenisporosarcina sp. HGH0030 is the source of this 140-nucleotide regulatory RNA element. It matches the Rfam family "TPP riboswitch aptamer (THI element)". Rfam says of the family: Vitamin B(1) in its active form thiamin pyrophosphate (TPP) is an essential coenzyme that is synthesised by coupling of pyrimidine and thiazole moieties in bacteria. NCBI's taxonomy places the organism in Bacteria, Bacillati, Bacillota, Bacilli, Caryophanales, Caryophanaceae. The record is from Rfam.
AUCUUCCACUAGGGGGACCUUGCAAUUGAUAAAUGGAAAUCAUUUAUUCAUUAAAUAAAGGUUGAGAUUAAAGUAAUGCUUUAAGACCCUUAGAACCUGAUCUGGUUUAUACCAGCGUAGGGAAGUGGAGUUGCGGAGCA